Pelobates cultripes (western spadefoot toad) is the source of this 218-nucleotide non-coding RNA. NCBI's taxonomy places the organism in Eukaryota, Metazoa, Chordata, Amphibia, Anura, Pelobatidae. The record is from the annotation of a GenBank genome assembly.
CAGUACUCCACCUCCACCUUGCUGGCGUCUGAGUCGGACUGGAGCUCUCUGCCCUUUACCAAUCCAGCCACGGGCCCAUCCAUCUGGCCCAUCAAGACUCACUCUCAUUUCAUCAGUCCAUAAAACCUUAGAAAAAUCAGUCUUGAGAUAUUUCUUGGCCCAGUCUUGACGUUUCAGCUUGUGUGUCUUGUUCAGUGGUGGUCGUCUGUCAGCCUUUC